This 405-nucleotide long non-coding RNA is filed under the name Hordeum vulgare. RNAcentral describes it as "long non-coding RNA (HVUL_LNC015171)". The record is from RNAcentral. Lineage: Eukaryota; Viridiplantae; Streptophyta; Magnoliopsida; Poales; Poaceae.
CGGGACCCAAACACACUGGACCGGCAGGGGGCAGGCAAAUAGGACACUUUUUUCUGUUUUAACCUUUUGAGCUAAAAUAUUCCCAAAUUUACCUCGUAUUUUAAAAAAAUCGAAUCUGUUUUUUUAUGACACCAACCCCCCUAACGGCUGGGUUGUACGAAAAAGAGGUCAGGGCAAAAGGCUUGGUCGGCAGAACCGUUGACUCGAUGACGUGACAAAGGGUCAGACAUCAUGGACCGAGACGCUGUGGACCUUGGCGUCUGGUUCUGAUAAGUGAAAUAUCUCACGAAAAGUGAAUGGGACCCACCCACUCAUUCUUCCCAAUUCAGCCCGAGCUUGCUGCUGCAUUUAUACUCUCUCCCCCUCUCCAACCCCCUCAAGCCCCCAUCAAAUCCUAUCCAAAAG